GCCCUGGUGGCACAGUGGUUAAAGCAUUUGAUUGCUAAUCAAAAGGUCAGCGGUUCAAAACCACCAGCGGCU
RNAcentral lists this transfer RNA (72 nucleotides) under Loxodonta africana (African savanna elephant). It matches the Rfam family "tRNA". Rfam says of the family: Transfer RNA (tRNA) molecules are approximately 80 nucleotides in length. Their secondary structure includes four short double-helical elements and three loops (D, anti-codon, and T loops). The record is from Rfam by way of RNAcentral. Lineage: Eukaryota; Metazoa; Chordata; Mammalia; Proboscidea; Elephantidae.